Molecule: long non-coding RNA, 330 nt
Filed under: Eutrema salsugineum
Lineage: Eukaryota; Viridiplantae; Streptophyta; Magnoliopsida; Brassicales; Brassicaceae
Description: long non-coding RNA (ESAL_LNC001269)
Source: RNAcentral
CCAAAAACCCGACUCUCUCUCUCUUUUUCUCUUGUUCGUAAUGAUGACUUUUCUUCUUGGCCGAUGAUUUUCUCUCCUCCUACGUCGACUCCUGGUAAUUUAUCUUCAUCUACUUGAUCGAAAUUCCCAAUCUCCUCUUUUGAAAAUUUUAUUUUUUAUUGUUUUGUUGGGUUAAAUUUCAAUCACAUCCUGAUGCGUUUUCUAUUAAACCCAGGGAUUAAAGAUCUCAACAAUAGCGGUGACAAGUGAGAAACAAAACAGCUCAAAGCCUCCACCUUCGCCUUCUCUUCAUCGAUCCUUUUUAUCUAUUCUGCGUUUUUUUUUGCUCGG